GAUGAACGCUGGCGGCGUGCCUAACACAUGCAAGUCGAGCGAACAGACGAGGAGCUUGCUCCUCUGACGUUAGCGGCGGACGGGUGAGUAACACGUGGAUAACCUACCUAUAAGACUGGGAUAACUUCGGGAAACCGGAGCUAAUACCGGAUAAUAUAUUGAACCGCAUGGUUCAAUAGUGAAAGACGGUUUUGCUGUCACUUAUAGAUGGAUCCGCGCCGCAUUAGCUAGUUGGUAAGGUAACGGCUUACCAAGGCAACGAUGCGUAGCCGACCUGAGAGGGUGGUCGGCCACACUGGAGCUGAGACGCGGUCCAGACUCCUGCGGGAGGCAGCAGAAGGGAAUCUUCCGCAAUGGGCGAGAGCCUGACGGAGCAACGCCGCGUGAGUGAUGAAGGUCUUCGGAUCGUAAAGCUCUGUUAUUAGGGAAGAACAAAUGUGUAAGUAACUAUGCACGUCUUGACGGUACCUGAUCAGAAAGCCACGGCUAACUACGUG
RNAcentral lists this ribosomal RNA (497 nucleotides) under uncultured bacterium. RNAcentral describes it as "partial 16S ribosomal RNA". It matches the Rfam family "Bacterial small subunit ribosomal RNA", at positions 28 to 507 of the family's 1533-position model. The record is from RNAcentral.